ACGAACGCUGGCGGCGUGCCUAAUACAUGCAAGUCGAACGGUCUUUCUAUGGAAGCUUGCUUCCACUGAGAAGAUAGUGGCGGACGGGUGAGUAACACGUGGGUAACCUGCCCAUAAGAGGGGGAUAACAUCCGGAAACGGGUGCUAAUACCGCAUAGUUUUCUUGAUCGCAUGAUUGAGAAAGGAAAGACGGCCUUUGUGCUGUCGCUUAUGGAUGGACCCGCGGCGUAUUAGUUAGUUGGUGAGGUAAUGGCUCACCAAGACGAUGAUACGUAGCCGACCUGAGAGGGUGAUCGGCCACAUUGGGACUGAGACACGGCCCAAACUCCUACGGGAGGCAGCAGUAGGGAAUCUUCCGCAAUGGACGAAAGUCUGACGGAGCAACGCCGCGUGAGUGAAGAAAGGUUUUCGGAUCGUAAAACUCUGUUGUCAGAGAAGAACAAGUUGGAGAGUAACUGCUCCAGCCUUGACGGUAUCUGACCAGAAAGCCACGGCUAACUACGUGCCAGCCGCCGC
Molecule: ribosomal RNA, 516 nt
Filed under: uncultured bacterium
Lineage: Bacteria
Description: bacterial SSU rRNA
Rfam family: Bacterial small subunit ribosomal RNA
Source: RNAcentral